GCAGGAUGUAGCUCAUGGAGAGCGCCGGGGUGACCCGGAGGCAUCGGUUCGAUUCCGGUUUCUUGUACCA
Molecule: transfer RNA, 70 nt
Filed under: Bradyrhizobium xenonodulans
Lineage: Bacteria; Pseudomonadati; Pseudomonadota; Alphaproteobacteria; Hyphomicrobiales; Nitrobacteraceae
Description: Bradyrhizobium sp. 14AB tRNA-OTHER
Rfam family: tRNA
About the family: Transfer RNA (tRNA) molecules are approximately 80 nucleotides in length. Their secondary structure includes four short double-helical elements and three loops (D, anti-codon, and T loops).
Source: RNAcentral